UACGGAGGGUGCAAGCGUUAUCCGGAUUCACUGGGUUUAAAGGGUGCGUAGGUGGGUUGUUAAGUCCGUGGUGAAAUCUCCGAGCUUAACUCGGAAACUGCCGUGGAUACUAUCAAUCUUGAAUACUGUGGAGGUAAGCGGAAUAUGUCAUGUAGCGGUGAAAUGCUUAGAUAUGACAUAGAACACCGAUAGCGAAGGCAGCUUGCUACACAGUCAUUGACACUGAGGCACGAAAGCGUGGGGAGCAAACAGG
Molecule: ribosomal RNA, 253 nt
Filed under: uncultured bacterium
Lineage: Bacteria
Description: partial 16S ribosomal RNA
Rfam family: Bacterial small subunit ribosomal RNA
Source: RNAcentral